CUAUGUCAGAAGCUCGUUCUAUUCUCGAAGCUACCUCCUAUGCCUCCUUUACUUUGCAGAGCUCUCAUAUUCUUUCGGAUUCCCAUGAGCUACUUUACUCAAUCAACGCUUCAGAGAACUAUUAUAAACCGCCCUGGCAAUGUUACUCCUGAUCCAUCGAAUCAGAGUCGUCCUACGCAAUAAUGCUAGGAUCUCAGUGGCAUUUAUCCCUAGAGCAUUAAAUGCCAAGGCCUACUAGGUAGCCAAAUCUGCCCG
Molecule: long non-coding RNA, 255 nt
Filed under: Linum usitatissimum (flax)
Lineage: Eukaryota; Viridiplantae; Streptophyta; Magnoliopsida; Malpighiales; Linaceae
Description: long non-coding RNA (LUSI_LNC003075)
Source: RNAcentral